RNAcentral lists this ribosomal RNA (553 nucleotides) under uncultured bacterium. RNAcentral describes it as "partial 16S ribosomal RNA". It matches the Rfam family "Bacterial small subunit ribosomal RNA", at positions 355 to 902 of the family's 1533-position model. The record is from RNAcentral.
CUAAGAAUAUUCCGCAAUGGACGGAAGUCUGACGGAGCGACACCGCGUGGAUGACGAAGGCCGAAAGGUUGUAAAGUUCUUUUGCUGGGGAAGAAUAACCGCAGGAGGGAAUGCCUGUGGGAUGACAAGAACCGGCGAAUAAGCCCCGGCCAACUACGUGCCAGCAGCCGCGGUAACACGUAGGGGGGCGAGCGUUGUUCGGAAUUACUGGGCGUAAAGGGCAUGUAGGCGGCUUGGAAAGCCUGGCGUGAAAGUCUGCAGCUUAACUGCAGGGGUGCGCUGGGAACUGCUGAGCUUGAGUGACGGAGAGGGAGCUGGAAUUCCUGGUGUAGGGGUGAAAUCUGUAGAUAUCAGGAAGAACACCGAUGGCGAAGGCAAGCUCCUGGCCGAUGACUGACGCUGAGGUGCGAAAGUGUGGGGAUCAAACAGGAUUAGAUACCCAGGUAGUCCACACAGUCAACGAUGUGCACUAGGUGCUGGGGCGGUAGCUUCGGUGCCGGAGCGAACGUGGUAAGUGCACCGCCUGGGGAGUAUGCUCGCAAGGGUGAAACUC